This 900-nucleotide ribosomal RNA is filed under the name uncultured archaeon. RNAcentral describes it as "bacterial SSU rRNA". It matches the Rfam family "Archaeal small subunit ribosomal RNA", at positions 455 to 1354 of the family's 1478-position model. The record is from RNAcentral.
GUGGCAGCCGCCGCGGUAAAACCAGCACCUCAAGUGGUCAGGAGGAUUAUUGGGCCUAAAGCAUCCGUAGCCUGCUUUGUAAGUUUUCGGUUAAAUCCAUAUGCUCAACAUAUGGGCUGUCGGGAAUACUGCAUAGCUAGGGAGUAGGAGAGGUAGACGGUACUCCAUAGGAAGGGGUAAAAUCCUUUGAUCUAUGGAAGACCACCUGUGGCGAAGGCGGUCUACCAGAACACGUUCGACGGUGAGGGAUGAAAGCUGGGGGAGCAAACCGGAUUAGAUACCCGGGUAGUCCCAGCUGUAAACUAUGCAAACUCAGUGAUGCAUUGGCUUGUGGCCAGUGCAGUGCCGCAGGGAAGCCGUUAAGUUUGCCGCCUGGGAAGUACGUACGCAAGUAUGAAACUUAAAGGAAUUGGCGGGGGAGCACCACAAGGGGUGAAGCCUGCGGUUCAAUUGGAGUCAACGCCAGAAAUCUUACCUGGGGAGACAGCAGAAUGAAGGUCAAGCUGAAGACUUUACCAGACAAGCUGAGAGGUGGUGCAUGGCCGUCGUCAGCUCGUGCCGUGAGAUGUCCUGUUAAGUCAGGUAACGAGCGAGAUCCCUGCCGCUAGUUGCUACCAUUACUCUCCGGAGUAGUGGGGCGAAUUAGCGGGACCGCCGCAGUUAAUGCGGAGGAAGGAAGGGGCCACGGCAGGUCAGUAUGCCCCGAAACUCUAGGGCCACACGCGGGCUGCAAUGGUAGCGACAAUGGGUCCCGAAUCCGAAAGGAGGAGGUAAUCCUCAAAUGCUACCUCAGUUAUGACUGAGGGCUGUAACUCGCCCUCACGAAUAUGGAAUCCCUAGUAACUGCGUGUCGUUACCGCGCGGUGAAUACGUCCCUGCUCCUUGCACACACCGCCCGUC